This 274-nucleotide ribosomal RNA is filed under the name uncultured bacterium. RNAcentral's name for it is "partial 16S ribosomal RNA". It matches the Rfam family "Bacterial small subunit ribosomal RNA", at positions 523 to 796 of the family's 1533-position model. The record is from RNAcentral.
AUACGGAGGGGGCUAGCGUUGUUCGGAAUUACUGGGCGUAAAGCGCGCGUAGGCGGCCUGUCAAGUUGGGCGUGAAAGCCCGGGGCUCAACCCCGGAAUUGCGUUCAAAACUGGCAAGCUAGAGACCGAGAGAGGUGAGUGGAAUUCCCAGUGUAGAGGUGAAAUUCGUAGAUAUUGGGAAGAACACCAGUGGCGAAGGCGGCUCACUGGCUCGGUACUGACGCUGAGGUGCGAAAGCGUGGGGAGCAAACAGGAUUAGAUACCCGAGUAGUCC